Molecule: ribosomal RNA, 520 nt
Filed under: uncultured Scutellospora
Lineage: Eukaryota; Fungi; Glomeromycota; Glomeromycetes; Diversisporales; Gigasporaceae
Description: SSU rRNA
Rfam family: Eukaryotic small subunit ribosomal RNA
Source: RNAcentral
AGCAGCCGCGGUAAUUCCAGCUCCAAUAGCGUAUAUUAAAGUUGUUGCAGUUAAAAAGCUCGUAGUUGAAUUUCGGGGGUUCUACCGUUGGUCGGGCUUUGUCUGUACUGGCGUGUAGAAUUUCUACCUUCUGGGGAACUAUCAUGUUAUUAAUUUAGCGUGGUAGGAAACCAGGACCUUUACCUUGAAAAAAUUAGAGUGUUCAAAGCAGGCUUAUGUCUGAAUACAUUAGCAUGGAAUAAUAAAAUAGGACGGUGGUCCUGUUUUGUUGGUUUCUGAAUCACCGUAAUGAUUAAUAGGGAUAGUUGGGGGCAUUAGUAUUCAAUUGUCAGAGGUGAAAUUCUUGGAUUUAUUGAAGACUAACUACUGCGAAAGCAUUUGCCAAGGAUGUUUUCAUUAAUCAAGAACGAAAGUUAGGGGAUCGAAGACGAUCAGAUACCGUCGUAGUCUUAACCAUAAACUAUGCCGACUAGGGAUCGGACGAUGUUAACUUUUCUUGACUCGUUCGGCGCCUUACGGG